This 420-nucleotide ribosomal RNA is filed under the name Triticum aestivum (bread wheat). RNAcentral describes it as "partial small subunit ribosomal RNA". Lineage: Eukaryota; Viridiplantae; Streptophyta; Magnoliopsida; Poales; Poaceae. The record is from RNAcentral.
AUGUGUGAUCACUAUGUUGUGGAAUCAAGGGAUCACCUCUUCUUCCAUUGCCCAUUUGCUCAAAUCUGUUGGAAGAAUAUCUGCCCCAGUUGGACAGCCUUGUCAGCUGGGAUUCAAGAUCAAAUUGGCAAUCCCAGGCAUCUGCUGAAUCUGCCCUUUGCUACGGACAUAAUCAUUCUAGUUGCUUGGGCCAUUUGGAAUACUAGGAAUGCUUACAUUUUUAGGGCUGUUCCUCCAAGUUUUUAUGCUUAUAGAAAACACUUCGAGGAGGAAUUGCAACGGCUGGUGCUCAGGGCCAAAGAGGAAAUCAUAUGGGUCACUUCCAGACUGGGUCCAGAACUUCAGAUAGGCAUCAUUCUUUCUCUUGCUUCCUUCAGUUAUAUAUAUGUUGUUAUAUCUGCUUACAGUUUUAGCUUCUAG